GUGGGGAAUUUUGGACAAUGGGCGCAAGCCUGAUCCAGCAAUGCCGCGUGCAGGAAGAAGGCCUUCGGGUUGUAAACUGCUUUUGUACGGAACGAAACGGUCCUGGUUAAUACCUGGGGCUAAUGACGGUACCGUAAGAAUAAGCACCGGCUAACUACGUGCCAGCAGCCGCGGUAAUACGUAGGGUGCGAGCGUUAAUCGGAAUUACUGGGCGUAAAGCGUGCGCAGGCGGUGCUGUAAGACAGGCGUGAAAUCCCCGGGCUCAACCUGGGAAUUGCGCUUGUGACUGCAGUGCUGGAGUACGGCAGAGGGGGAUGGAAUUCCGCGUGUAGCAGUGAAAUGCGUAGAUAUGCGGAGGAACACCGAUGGCGAAGGCAGUCCCCUGGGCCUGUACUGACGCUCAUGCACGAAAGCGUGGGGAGCAAACAGGAUUAGAUACCCUAGUAGUCC
This 450-nucleotide ribosomal RNA is filed under the name uncultured bacterium. RNAcentral describes it as "bacterial SSU rRNA". It matches the Rfam family "Bacterial small subunit ribosomal RNA", at positions 354 to 796 of the family's 1533-position model. The record is from RNAcentral.